This 366-nucleotide ribosomal RNA is filed under the name uncultured organism. Its description in RNAcentral is "bacterial LSU rRNA". It matches the Rfam family "Bacterial large subunit ribosomal RNA", at positions 2099 to 2465 of the family's 2925-position model. The record is from RNAcentral.
CUUUACUGUAGCCUGGAAUUGGGUUCGGGCUUUGACUGCGCAGGAUAGGUGGGAGACCAUGAGAUUGCCCUUGUGGGGGCAAAGGAGUCAACGGUGAGAUACCACUCUGUCAAAGCUAGAAUUCUAACCUUUAGCCGUCAUCCGGCGGAGGAACAGUUUCAGGUGGGCAGUUUGACUGGGCGGUCGCCUCCUAAAGUGUAACGGAGGCGCACAAAGGUUCCCUCAGGCUGGUUGGAAAUCAGCCGCAGAGUGUAGAGGCAUAAGGGAGCUUGACUGUGAGACUGACAAGUCGAGCAGGGUGGAAACACGGUCUUAGUGAUCCGACGGCUAUGAGUGGAAGUGCCGUCGCUCAACGGAUAAAAGUUA